RNAcentral lists this ribosomal RNA (802 nucleotides) under uncultured bacterium. RNAcentral's name for it is "bacterial SSU rRNA". It matches the Rfam family "Bacterial small subunit ribosomal RNA", at positions 8 to 796 of the family's 1533-position model. The record is from RNAcentral.
AGAGUUUGAUCAUGGCUCAGGACGAACGCUGGCGGCGCGCUUAACACAUGCAAGUCGAGCGAGAACCGGGACUUCGGUCCUGGGGACAGCGGCGAACGGGUGAGUAACACGUGGGUAAUCUGCCCUCGAUUCUGGGAUAGCCCCGGGGAAACCCGGAUUAAUACCGGAUAGCCUUUCGAGCUUUCGGGCGCGAAAGAAAAGGUAGCUUCGGCCUCCGAUCGAGGAUGAGCCCGCGGUGGAUUAGCUUGUUGGCGGGGUAAUGGCCCACCAAGGCGACGAUCCAUAGCUGGUCUGAGAGGACGAUCAGCCACACUGGGACUGAGACACGGCCCAGACUCCUACGGGAGGCAGCAGUGGGGAAUCUUGCGCAAUGGGCGAAAGCCUGACGCAGCGACGCCGCGUGGGGGAAGAAGGCCUUAGGGUUGUAAACCUCUUUCAGGUGGGACGAAGCCACUCGGGUUAAUAGCCCAGAGGGUGACGGUACCGCCAGAAGAAGCCCCGGCUAACUACGUGCCGGCAGCCGCGGUAAUACGUAGGGGGCAAGCGUUGUCCGGAUUUAUUGGGCGUAAAGAGCGUGUAGGCGGCCAGGUAGGUGGGUUGUGAAAACUGGAGGCUCAACCUUCAGACGUCGACCCAAACCCCCUGGCUAGAGUCCGGAAGAGGAGAGUGGAAUUCCUGGUGUAGCGGUGAAAUGCGCAGAUAUCAGGAAGAACACCCGUGGCGAAGGCGGCCCUCUGGGACGGUACUGACGCUGAGACGCGAAAGCGUGGGGAGCGAACAGGAUUAGAUACCCUAGUAGUCC